AUACGUAGGGGGCGAACGUUGUCCGGAUUUAUUGGGCGUAAAGGGUACGCAGGCGGCCAUAUAAGUCAGAUGUGAAAGGCCAAGGCUUAACCUUGGUUAGCAUUUGAAACUGUGUGGCUUGAGUUAAGGAGAGGAAAGUGGAAUUCCUGGUGUAGCGGUGAAAUGCGUAGAUAUCAGGAGGAAUACCAGUGGCGAAGGCGACUUUCUGGACUUAUACUGACGCUGAGGUACGAAAGCGUGGGGAGCAAACAGGAUUAGAUACCCUGGUAGUCCACGCCGUAAACGAUGAGUGCUAGGUGUCGGGGGUCAAACCUCGGUGCCGCAGCUAACGCAUUAAGCACUCCGCCUGGGGAGUACGUUCGCAAGAAUGAA
This 372-nucleotide ribosomal RNA is filed under the name uncultured bacterium. RNAcentral describes it as "bacterial SSU rRNA". It matches the Rfam family "Bacterial small subunit ribosomal RNA", at positions 523 to 898 of the family's 1533-position model. The record is from RNAcentral.